CCUACGGGUGGCAGCAGUGAGGAAUAUUGCACAAUGGGCUUACGCCUGAACCAGCCAAGUCGCGUGAGGGAAGAAUGCCCUAUGGGUUGUAAACCUCUUUUGUCAGGGAGCAAUUGGCGCUACGUGUAGCGUUAUCGAGAGUAACUGAUGACAAAGCAUCGGCUAACUCAGUGACAGCAGACGCGGUAGGACGGAGGAUCCGAGCGUUUUCCGGAUUUAAUGGGUGUAAAGGGAGCGUAGGUGGUUUGUUAAGUCAGUUGUGAAAGUUUGGGGCUCAACCGGAGAAUGGAAGUUGAUACUGGCAGUCUUGAGGACAGUAGAGGGGGGCGGAAUUCGUGGUGUAGCGGUGAAAUGCUUAGAGAUCACGAGGAACACCGGUGGCGAAGGCAGUUCACUGGACGGCAACUGACACUGAGGCUCGAAAGUGUGGGGAGCAAACAGGAUUAGAUACCCUAGUAGUC
This 461-nucleotide ribosomal RNA is filed under the name uncultured bacterium. Its description in RNAcentral is "partial 16S ribosomal RNA". It matches the Rfam family "Bacterial small subunit ribosomal RNA", at positions 338 to 795 of the family's 1533-position model. The record is from RNAcentral.